UGGGGAAUUUUGGACAAUGGGCGAAAGCCUGAUCCAGCAAUGCCGCGUGUGUGAAGAAGGCCUUCGGGUUGUAAAGCACUUUUGUCCGGAAAGAAAACGCCGUGGUUAAUACCCGUGGCGGAUGACGGUACCGGAAGAAUAAGCACCGGCUAACUACGUGCCAGCAGCCGCGGUAAUACGUAGGGUGCAAGCGUUAAUCGGAAUUACUGGGCGUAAAGCGUGCGGAGGCGGUCCGCUAAGACAGAUGUGAAAUCCCCGGGGUUAACCUGGGAACUGGAUUUGUGACUUGCGGGCUAGAGUAUGGCAGAGGGGGGGAGAAAUCCACGUGGUACAGUGGAAUGCGGAGAGAUGUGGAGGAAUACCGAUGGGGGAGGCAGCCCCCUGGGCCAAUACUGACGCUCAUGCACGAAAGCGUGGGGAGCAAACAGG
This 429-nucleotide ribosomal RNA is filed under the name Bacillota bacterium. RNAcentral describes it as "Firmicutes bacterium partial 16S ribosomal RNA". It matches the Rfam family "Bacterial small subunit ribosomal RNA", at positions 355 to 776 of the family's 1533-position model. Lineage: Bacteria; Bacillati; Bacillota. The record is from RNAcentral.